This 274-nucleotide ribosomal RNA is filed under the name Pantoea agglomerans. RNAcentral describes it as "partial 16S ribosomal RNA". It matches the Rfam family "Bacterial small subunit ribosomal RNA", at positions 563 to 832 of the family's 1533-position model. Lineage: Bacteria; Pseudomonadati; Pseudomonadota; Gammaproteobacteria; Enterobacterales; Erwiniaceae. The record is from RNAcentral.
GCGUAAGCGCACGCAGGCGGUCUGUCAAGUCGGAUGUGAAAUCCCCGGGCUCAACCUGGGAACUGCAUUCGAAACUGGCAGGCUAGAGUCUUGUAGAGGGGGGUAGAAUUCCACGUGUAGCGGUGAAAUGCGUAGAGAUCUGGAGGAAUACCGGUGGCGAAGGCGGCCCCCUGGACAAAGACUGACGCUCACGUGCGAAAGCGUGGGGAGCAAACAGGAUUAGAUACCCUGGUAGUCCACGCCGUAAACGAUGUCUACUUGGAGGUUGAGCCCU